GAUGAACGCUGGUGGCGUGCCUAACGCAUGCAAGUCGAGCGAUUCUCUUCGGCGAAUAGCGGCGGACGGGUGGGUAAAGCGUGGGUAACCUCCCCUGUAACCACCGCUAACCUACCGAAAGGUAUCCUAAUACGAGAUAACAUGCCUUUAUCGCACUGUAGAAGUAUCAAAGCUUUUGCGGAACAGGAUGGACGCGCGUCUGAUUGGCUAGUUGGUGAGGUAAUGGCUCAGUAAGGCGACGCUCAGUAUCCGACAUGUGAGGGUGAUCGGCCACAUUGGAACUGAGACACAGUCCAAACGCCUACGGGAGGCAGCAGAGGAGAAUAUUGCACGAUGGGCGAAAGCCUGAUGCAGCAGCGCCGCGGGAGCGAGGAAGGCCGUCGUGACGUAAAGCUCUGUCCGCAAGGAAGAUAAUGACGGUACUGGGUGAGGAAGCCCCGGCUAACUACGUG
Molecule: ribosomal RNA, 452 nt
Filed under: uncultured bacterium
Lineage: Bacteria
Description: partial 16S ribosomal RNA
Rfam family: Bacterial small subunit ribosomal RNA
Source: RNAcentral